Non-coding RNA from Gossypium hirsutum (cotton), 83 nucleotides. The record is from Rfam. NCBI's taxonomy places the organism in Eukaryota, Viridiplantae, Streptophyta, Magnoliopsida, Malvales, Malvaceae.
GUCGCUUUGGCCGAGUGGUUAAGGCGUGUGCCUGCUAAGUACAUGGGAUUUUUCCCGCGAGAGUUCGAAUCUCUCAGGCGACG